GUGAAUCAUCGAAUCUUUGAACGCAAAUUGCACUCUCUUCGGAGAGUAUGACUGUUUGAGGGUCAGCCUAUAAAAAAUCGACAUCGUAGCUGUUUCGCGGUGGCGUUGGUCGGUAAUUGGGUCAUAUUAAAUCCUCUUGAUUUAAGCGACUUAUAAUUUUCUUUUGGUUCCAUGAACGUUUCUAAGAUCUAUUUCUUUACAUGUUUACGUUAUCGAUUUUUACUAUUGGUGACCAUCAUAUCGGUUCGCGUCC
Molecule: unclassified non-coding RNA, 253 nt
Filed under: Glomus sp.
Lineage: Eukaryota; Fungi; Glomeromycota; Glomeromycetes; Glomerales; Glomeraceae
Description: partial contains 5.8S ribosomal RNA and internal transcribed spacer 2
Rfam family: 5.8S ribosomal RNA (bases 1-65)
Source: RNAcentral